Molecule: ribosomal RNA, 716 nt
Filed under: uncultured bacterium
Lineage: Bacteria
Description: bacterial SSU rRNA
Rfam family: Bacterial small subunit ribosomal RNA
Source: RNAcentral
AGUUGAUAUGGCUAGGACAAACGCUGGCGGCGUGCCUAAUACAUGCAAGUCGAACGGUCCCUCUUCGGGGGGAUAGUGGCGGACGGGUGAGUAACACGUAGAUGACCUGCCCUUUAGUGGGGAAUAACAUCUCGAAAGAGAUGCUAAUACCGCAUAAGUUCUCCUUCGUGGGGAGGAGAAGAAACCUGUUUCGUGACAGGGAUGGGGCUGAAGGAGGGGUCUGCGGCGGAUUAGCUAGUUGGUGAGGUAACGGCCCACCAAGGCGACGAUCCGUAGCUGGUCUGAGAGGACGGCCAGCCACACUGGGACUGAGACACGGCCCAGACUCCUACGGGAGGCAGCAGUAAGGAAUAUUCCGCAAUGGGCGAAAGCCUGACGGAGCGACGCCGCGUGAAGGAGGAAGCCCUUCGGGGUGUAAACUUCUUUUCUUUGGGAUGACACAUCCCCCAGGUGCAAGCCUGGGAGAUUAGGACAGUACCAGAGGAAUAAGCCUCGGCUAACUACGUGCCAGCAGCCGCGGUAAUACGUAGGAGGCGAGCGUUAUCCGGAUUUACUGGGCGUAAAGCGCGCGCAGGCGGCACACUAAGUACGAUGUGAAAUCUCCCUGCUCAACGGGGAGGGUGCAUAGUAAACUGGUGAGCUAGAGGACGGUAGAGGGGGGUGGAAUUGCUGGCGUAGCGGUGAAAUGCGUAGAGAUCAGCAGGAAACACCGUGGC